RNAcentral lists this ribosomal RNA (342 nucleotides) under uncultured bacterium. RNAcentral describes it as "partial 16S ribosomal RNA". It matches the Rfam family "Bacterial small subunit ribosomal RNA", at positions 304 to 658 of the family's 1533-position model. The record is from RNAcentral.
CCGGCCACACUGGGACUGAGANACGGCCCAGACUCCUACGGGAGGCAGCAGUGGGGAAUAUUGCNCAAUGGGCGCAAGCCUGAUGCAGCGACGCCGCGUGGGGGAUGACGGCCUUCGGGUUGUAAACCUCUUUCAGUAGGGACGAAGCGCAAGUGACGGUACCURCAGAAGAAGGACCGGCCAACUACGUGCCAGCAGCCGCGGUAAUACGUAGGGUSCGAGCGUUGUCCGGAAUUACUGGGCGUAAAGAGCUCGUAGGUGGUUUGUCGCGUUGUNCGUGAAAUCUCNCANCUCAAUUGNGANCGUGCGANCGAUACGGGCANACUGGAGUACNGCAGGGGA